This 497-nucleotide ribosomal RNA is filed under the name uncultured bacterium. Its description in RNAcentral is "partial 16S ribosomal RNA". It matches the Rfam family "Bacterial small subunit ribosomal RNA", at positions 28 to 507 of the family's 1533-position model. The record is from RNAcentral.
GAUGAACGCUGGCGGCGUGCCUAAUACAUGCAAGUCGAGCGAACAGACGAGGAUCUUGCUCCUCUGACGUUAGCGGCGGACGGGUGAGUAACACGUGGAUAACCUACCUAUAUGACUGGUAUCACCUCGGGAAACCGGAUCUAAUACCGGAUGAUCUAUUGAACCGCAGGGUGCAAUAGUGAAAUACGGUUUUUCUGUCACUUAUAGAUGGAUCCGCGCCGCAUUAGCUAGUUGGUAAGGUAACGGCUUACCAAGGCGACGAUGCGUAGCCGAACUGAGAGGGUGGUAGGCCACACUGGAGCGUGAACAGCGACCAGAGGCCUAAGGGAGGCAGCAGUAGGGAAUCUUCCGCAAUGGGGGAGAGCUUGACGGAGCAAGGCCGCGUGAGAGACGACGGUCUUCGGUUCGUAAUGCUGUGUUAUUAGGGAAGAACAAAUGUGUACGUAACUAUGCACGUCUUGACGGUACCUAAUCAGAAAGCCACGGCUAACUACGUG